This 207-nucleotide ribosomal RNA is filed under the name uncultured bacterium. Its description in RNAcentral is "partial 16S ribosomal RNA". It matches the Rfam family "Bacterial small subunit ribosomal RNA", at positions 1294 to 1500 of the family's 1533-position model. The record is from RNAcentral.
CGGAUUGCAGUCUGCAACUCGACUGCAUGAAGCUGGAAUCGCUAGUAAUCGCGAAUCAGAAUGUCGCGGUGAAUACGUUCCCGGGUCUUGUACACACCGCCCGUCACACCAUGGGAGUUGGAAGCGCCCGAAGUCUGUGACCUAACCGUAAGGGAGGAGCAGCCGAAGGUGAAGCCAGUGACUGGGGUGAAGUCGUAACAAGGUACC